GAUGAACGCUAGCGGGAGGCUUAACACAUGCAAGUCGAGGGGCAGCAUAGGGUAGCAAUACUCUGAUGGCGACCGGCAAACGGGUGAGUAACGCGUAUGCAACCUACCCUGUACAGGGGGAUAACCCGGAGAAAUUCGGACUAAUAUCCCGUAAUAAUAUCCGGAGGCAUCUUUGGAUAUUUAAAGUUUCGACGGUACGGGAUGGGCAUGCGUAACAUUAGCUGGUUGGUAAGGUAACGGCUUACCAAGGCUAUGAUGUUUAGGGGUCCUGAGAGGGUGGUCCCCCACACUGGUACUGAGACACGGACCAGACUCCUACGGGAGGCAGCAGUGAGGAAUAUUGGUCAAUGGGCGCAAGCCUGAACCAGCCAUCCCGCGUGCAGGAAGACGGCCCUAUGGGUUGUAAACUGCUUUUCCAGGGAGGAAACUUACGCACGUGUUGCGUGACUGACGGUACCCUGGGAAUAAGCAUCGGCUAACUCCGUG
Molecule: ribosomal RNA, 486 nt
Filed under: uncultured bacterium
Lineage: Bacteria
Description: bacterial SSU rRNA
Rfam family: Bacterial small subunit ribosomal RNA
Source: RNAcentral